GUGUGAGAAUAUAGUGGCUCCAGGGCCAUGACCAGGAAAGUGAGGCCAGGUGGGAGAGAUGGGAUGACUCCCCUUCCCUAUGUGGUCUCCACUGUGAACUGGACCUGGAGGGCUGGAACCAGGAGCUGCCACGGAAGCAUAGGCAUGAGCAGCUGACAGGGGAGCCACGAACAGCCUGGAGAGCUGAGCAUGGGCCUGCUUCACGCUCCAGCGGGGCCCGAGGCCCCCAGGAACUCUACCCGUCCUGGCGGCCUCACAGAACCUGCUGCAUCCAUCUCAAUAGGCACACCUCCUCCAAGAAACCUUCCCCGCUGCUCAGAGGUCUUAAAUCCAGGGUUUGCACUCACAAACUGUGCAGCCUACACCAGCUUUCGAGGGACAGCAGAAUACUGUGGGGGGCCUGGCACAGUCCCUGGCACACAGUAGGCACUCAUCGAGCCCGUCAGCCCCUCUACUCCUGACUUCUGAGGCAACAGGAAAAGACCCACCACCUUGUUCUCACAGCAGAGCCUCCCUGCCAGCGCAGAUGGUCACAAGGGACUCCCGGGAUGCUGCCCACCUUGAGAGCCAGGCCCCUCCGGAGGGGCCAGUCUGGGCCUGACACCCCUGACCACCAACCCCCUGGGCAGAGCCUGCCUGUGCCUGGGUGAGGAACCCUGCAUUCUCCUUGCCACCCAAGGCUUGCAUCUGCCUUGGGGGCCCAGGCUCCACCCUCUCCGACCCCCAGGCCCACUGCUACCCCCAAUGCCUGACCUGUGCCCACCUGACUCAACCUGGCUACUGUUCAGCAAGUUUACAAAGUGUUCUCAGUCUGAACAGGAACCGUUUUCAAUCCUUUAUUUCAGAAAGGAGAGUCAGGAGAACUGGGGACUUAGAAAAUACAGAUCCUAAACUCAGAAGUCCCUGCCCCAGGCGUGCAGAGCCAGGGUCGUGGGGUUUUGUGCUGGGCAGGGGCUGCCCUGGGAGGGGGAUACAGGGGGAGGCACUUUAAGACAGCCCUUAGGCUGUGAAGGGUGUCAGCUGGGCCUCUGAAGCCAUUAACCUCUGGUUCCCAUCAUGGAGAGCCCUGUGUGGGGGACCCAAGGGGGCUUCCUCCUGGAAGGGCCCCCACCCCUAGUGUCAGAGAAGCUGGCACGAACUGAGGGAGUGAGGUGCCG
Molecule: long non-coding RNA, 1157 nt
Organism: Cercocebus atys (sooty mangabey)
Lineage: Eukaryota; Metazoa; Chordata; Mammalia; Primates; Cercopithecidae
Exons: 2
Source: RefSeq, a predicted model, not a curated record